GUCUAAACCUAAAGAUGAAUUUUAUAACAGUUUGAGCCAAAAGAUUGAGGACCAACCCAAAAGCAAAAUCUCAAAGGAUUAAGAAAAUGUUCUGGAGGAUGUCAACUGCUGCAUGAUGUUUUGGUCGAUGAUGGACUGUGGAUAUAUGACAGUGAGAUUAUAAUGGAACUGACAAAUCCCUGUCACCUAGUGAGGUGGUCAUGCAUUACACAAACACUACUUCCCAUUGUAUUACAGUUGCCUACAGUAUUCAAUACAACAACAUACUGCACAGGGAUGUCUCAGCCAGGAACCUAGUAAGAGGGAAAAUUAUUUUCCCCCCUCUACAGAGCAAUAAGCUAUAC
Long non-coding RNA from Molossus molossus (Pallas's mastiff bat), 344 nucleotides. RefSeq lists it as uncharacterized. The record is from RefSeq and is a predicted model, not a curated record. The transcript has 3 exons. Lineage: Eukaryota; Metazoa; Chordata; Mammalia; Chiroptera; Molossidae.